Molecule: long non-coding RNA, 806 nt
Filed under: Drosophila guanche
Lineage: Eukaryota; Metazoa; Arthropoda; Insecta; Diptera; Drosophilidae
Source: RNAcentral
UUUUGAGGAUUUCGGGGUUUGUUGCAUUGGGCAUCAGCUCGACUUCAAACAUGUUCAUAGGUUGGCCAGUGUGUUUCCACUUGAGAACAUUAAUGUAUUUUACAUUAUGACCUGAUGCUGUCAGAAGUUCAGUAAUGUAGGUAGUAUCUGUCGAGUAGUGAAGAUCGCGUAUGAUAACUCUGUAUCCACGUUCCGAUUCAAGUUGAUAUGUAUAACAUGGUAUCUUGGUGUUUUCGUCGUCAAAAAAUCUUCUGAGCGUUCUAAAUACAUCGCUGUUGCUACACAUGAUGCGCAAUCCUCCAGUAUUGGUGCUUUUGGUAAAGAAAGUGCCUUCACCAAUAAGAGUUUUGAUCUGGUUAAUUGUCUGUAAGAUAUUUUCAACUUUUGGAAUGACUAUGGGUGGCGGCUUAGCAACGCGAGGGUUGUUACUAAGUGAGAUUGGUGGGGGCCCUGACUGGGCUUCUGCAGUGCGUGUUGCAUGAGCGGCAGUACUGGAACUGUUUGUUGCUGGCAUUGUUGAAUCAUCAGGAAUGGCAUCUAGUGUGUCCAUACUCAUCACGUCCUCAUCCAGUUGUUGAAUAAGGUCUGGAUCUAGAUCACUGUAAUAAUUCUGCUUCAGGCUGGAAGCAGCAAUUUUUUUGUUCGUCGGGUGGAGAACAAAGUCAGGAGUCGCUGGGCGCUUGUCGGCAGUCCUGGCCUGUCUUGGAUUUGGUUGGCUUGCUUUGGCCGGGUUAAGCGAUGGUUGCUUAAACUGAAUUUCCGUGAUUUGUUCAGGGUUAAAGAUCAUAUCCAUAAGGCUUCGACCA